AGGGAUGGGCACCAAAAUAAAAGAGUUUCGAUAUGAAAAUGAAGCUAUUUAAAAGAAAGAACAAAUACAAAUAUGCCCUGGACACGUUGUUUUAGAUACUGCUCCUCAUCACCAUUUUUCCCUCUAUGAUAAACAUCGUAUGUUAGUUAGAACAUACGAUUUAUAAAUUAUAAAAUAAUGGAAGUACCUGGCCACAACCCCAGCUUGUCCUGAUGUAAUCCAUCACGAAAUAAUACGAUUUGCUAGAUAAGGAAUUUGGCUGCUCAUCAUGACCAUGAAGCCAGAGCAUGCAUUUCAGGUGAUUUCUGAGGGCUUGGGAAAAGCAUGGGCUCCUACUCCAACUUCUUCUGAUGCCUUUAAAUCGGUCCCAUGGUGUCAGGCAUAGGGAUGCAGGGAUGCGCACCUCUAAUCCAAGCACUCGGCAAGCAAAUCUAGUGGGUUUAUGUAAGUAUAAGGCCAAUCUGGGCCACAUAGUAAAUUUUGGGUCAGCAAAGUUAUGUAGUAAGACCUUGUCUCAACAGACAGACAGACAGACAGACAGACAGACAGACAGACAAAGAAACAAGUAAGUAAACGAAGAGAAAUGAAAGAGAAUUGUGUAAGAGUUGUGAGGAAGUUUUGGCCUGUUGGUUUAUACCUAUAAUCCUGGUACUCAGGAGGCUGAAGGGAACCUGCACGUUCAAGUCCACCAAGGUCUAGGUCAGCAAAAGCCCUUGCACCCAAGCCACCAAGUCACCAUCCAAGCUAAAGCUGUGGCAAGGAAAAAAAAAUCUGUAUCCAAGACUCACACUCACAGCAGGUAGUAAACUGGGAAAACUCUCUGAAACAGUUUCUUGGUAGGUUUUUAUGUUCUCUUCCAAAUGGGCUCAACAGACAAAAGAGCAUGAAGAUCGUAAAUGACAAAUGACAGUUCCCCGUCCCUGGAUAAUGAAGACAAACCAAAACACCCGCAAGAAACAGCAGGCUGGGAAUUCGGAGACGGCCUGAGUGAGGGCAUGGCUGUGACAGAGUCCCAUGCCGCAGUCACCUUCUUUCUGCACGGCUUCACACGCUGGCUGAGUAACCCCAGGUUACUGACUAUGGAACUUCCAUCGGGUGCAAAGGUAAAAUUUUCCUGGCUGUGGUAUGCUAGGAAAAAGAAUUGCAGUACUCCCUGUUUUGUGGUCCAAGCAUGUUUCUGAGAAAAAAAAAUCAAAACCAAAUUACAGACCUCUCACCAGAAUAAACACAUUAAAUCUGCUGACACUGGAGAGUGUCACAACACUCUCAGAGCCACAGCCGUGGAGAGCUAGCUUCUCAGGCCUUAUGUCCAAACACACUUUGCUAGGACGCUUGGCUAAAUAAAAGGGAACAAACCUUCCAUUGUUCCUGGUGUUUAUUAAAAUGGCCCCCAGGAAUUCCCUGCAGACACCUGCUUAAAGAGAACCAAUGAAGGAGACACUCAUUUGAUGUGCCCAGUGCAGACCUGAACUGGAAACAAUAGAAAAGUUUUCAACUGACAUAGACCAGCAAGGUCUGAGUACUGCCCCCCAUCCCCAAUCAUUGUAAUCACCAAAAACAUCCCUUCUCUAAGCUUUCUUAGUGGUCGCUUCAAAACAUCUUCUUACAUAAUCACUCAUCCUACCUCACUCUCACCUUUUACUUCAGUAGUAAAAUACUGCCACUAAUAAAAAGGUAAGACUGAAUUCCGCUGCAGACAGACUUCUGCUCACAGCUGGGCCGGCUGUUGCUGGGGAUGCCAAGGUUGUCUAACUAAGCUGUUUUUUGUUUUUGUUUUUGUUUUCAAUUAUGGCUUAUAUUUCUCUGUUGACAAUUUCAAUUUGAAGUGCGCAAAAGUCUUUUAACAACAGCCAGUUGUUGAUAGAACAGGUUCACUCAGUCACGUGUUAAGAUUCCCUCUCUGGUUAGAGAAGCUCUCUGUGUACCCGUGUGCCUGCAUGCAUACGAUACCAAAGUAAAGAAAACAUAGGAAAACCUAAAACCAAGCAUGAUGGC
This 1995-nucleotide long non-coding RNA is filed under the name Mus musculus (house mouse). Its description in RNAcentral is "long non-coding RNA chr18:13989769-13991764". Lineage: Eukaryota; Metazoa; Chordata; Mammalia; Rodentia; Muridae. The record is from RNAcentral.